RNAcentral lists this ribosomal RNA (253 nucleotides) under uncultured bacterium. RNAcentral's name for it is "partial 16S ribosomal RNA". It matches the Rfam family "Bacterial small subunit ribosomal RNA", at positions 524 to 776 of the family's 1533-position model. The record is from RNAcentral.
UACGGGGGGGGCAAGCGUUGUUCGGAUUUACUGGGCGUAAAGGGCGCGUAGGCGGCUUUGCAAGUCAGUUGUGAAAUCUCCGGGCUUAACCCGGAGCGGCCAAGUGAUACUGUCGUGCUAGAGUGCGGAAGGGGCUACUGGAAUUCUCGGUGUAGCGGUGAAAUGCGUAGAUAUCGUAAGGAAGACCAGUGGCGAAGGCGAGUCUCUGGACAGCAACUGACGCUGAGGCACGAAGGCCAGGGGAGCAAACGGG